RNAcentral lists this long non-coding RNA (5941 nucleotides) under Homo sapiens (human). RNAcentral describes it as "HSALNT0081435". The record is from RNAcentral. Lineage: Eukaryota; Metazoa; Chordata; Mammalia; Primates; Hominidae.
ACCCAGUAAUGGGAAUUCUGAGUCAAAUGGUGUUUCUGUUUUAGGUUAGGUCUUUGAAGUAAUCGCCACACUGUUUCUCAUAAUGGUUAAACUAAUUUAUAAUCCCACCAACAGUGUAUAACCGUUCUUUUUUCUCCACAACCUCACCGGCAUCUGUUAUUUUUUGACUUUUUAGUAAUAGUCAUUCUAACUGCUGUGAGAUGGUAUCUGAUUGUGGUUUUGAUUUGCAUUUCUCUAAUAAUCAGUGAUGUUGAGCUUUUUAUAUAUGCUUGUUGGUGGCAUGUAUGUCUUCCUUUGUAAAAUGUCUGUUCAUGUUCUUUGUUCACUUUUUAAUGGGAAACAUCCUUCAAGAGAACGGAGUCUGCCCAUAAGAGCAUGGAGCCAAAAUACAGACAGAGACCCCAGAGAGAUCCUGUGCCCCUUCGUCCAUGUGAGAACAGAGUGAGAAGAAGGCCAUCUGUGAGGAAUUGGGUCCUCACCAGACCCAAUCUGCCUGAGCCGUGACCUUACACCGAAUCUGCCUGAGCCGUGACCUUACACUUUCCAGCCUCCAGAACUGUGAGAAAUAAACUUCUGUUUUUUUUUGAUGAAAAUGUGCUGAAAUUGGAAUCCUCAAACAUUGCUGGUGAAAAUGCAAAAUACAGCUGCUAUGGAAAGUAGUUUGUUGGUGUCUCAAAAAGCUGAACAUAAAAUUAUUAUAUGAGCCAGUGAUUUCACUCUUAGGUAUAUUCUCAAAAGAAUUAAAAACGACCAUGCAAACAAAUACUUGUGCAUGAAUGUUCAUUGCAGCAGUAUUCACAGUAGCCAAAAGGUGGAAACAUAACAAGUGUUCAUCAGAAGAUAAUAAAUAAAUGAAAUAGAAUGGAUUCAUACAAAUAUUAUUCAGUCAUUAAAAAUGAAUAAAGUAGUUAUAUAUGCUGUAACUAGGGGAACCUCAAAAGCAUUAUCUAAGUGAAAAAAGCCAGAUACAACAAUCAUGUAUUAUAUAAUUCCAUUCAUAUGCAGCUUCUAGAAUAGAUAAAUACAUGGAGACUGAAAGCAGACUAGUGGUUAUUGGGGCUUGGAGAAGGGGGAUGGGAUUGAUUGCCUAAUGAGUAUGGGAUUUCUUUUAGAAUGAUGUAAACACCUUAGAACUAAAUAGGGGAGAUGGUUGCACAACAUUGUAAAUGGACUUAAUACCACUGAAUUGUACACUUUAAAAAGGUUAAUGGUUAAAUUGAUGUUAUAUGAAUUUUAUCUCAAUUUAAAAUUUAAAUAUUAUAAAAUUUUGUAAAAUGUCUUAAAAUUCUUUCCUUCUAACUACAGUACUAUCUUUGGGUAUCCAGUGAGAUCUGCUUGUGCUUCCACUCUUCACUGAUGAUAUCUUUUUCAUCGUAUGUAAGACUUUCAUUUAUUUAGCCACCUUUCAUACCAUUUCUCUGUUUCCAGCAAGAAAUGUCUCAUUCUUUUCCAAAGUUACAGUUUUUACAUAUGUUGGCUUCGUAACCCCUUCCAGGUCCUGCUUCAUCAAUUAAACCUACUCUUCCUCUUUUCUGUAUACCUGCCAUCCAUAUUUUGUCCUUUCUUCUGGAUCUACACAUUUAACUUGAUUGAUUUAAUAUUGGUAACUUCCUUUACCUUCAUUCCAUAUGAAAACAUCUACCCUUCUUUCUUUAAAUCUUAACAGCACUUAUUCUGAAUGAGGGAGAUGAAAUACAGCUAAGGCACUAGGAUUGUCUAUUGCAUUCGAGAAAGGGUGAGCAAAAUAUAGCCUGUGGGCCAAAUAUGGCCCAACAUCUACUUUGUAAUUAACAUUUUUGGGAACAAGUCACACUUAUUCACUUAUAUAUUGUCUGUAGUUAGUCGUAUUACAAUGGCAGUGUUGAGUAGUGGACACAGACACAAUAUUGCCCACAAAACCUAAAAUAUUUACUAUUUGGCCCUUAUAGGAAAAAUAAUUCAGGUUCCUAUAUUGAAAUAUCAAUAGAUUUCAGAAUUCUAUGUUAGAGUAGCAAUAGGUAUUUUAAGAGAGAAAUCUCCAAAUCUCUGAAUUUACAUGAUAGAAGUGUAUUCUCACCUAAAUUCUAAGAAAUAGCAAUAUGGAUUCAGGAAACAAGCUUGCAGAUGCCUUCCAAAAGUGCCUGGACUUUAACUGGCACGUGGUCAAAAAAAAAAGUGAAUAAUUACAUAGAACUUUUCCUAUUUUUCUUUCUUCUUUAAUAGAAUAUACCUGUAAUUAUUAUAUAUUGCUUCCACCAAUGCCACCUUCUUUUUAUACUUCUACAACUGCUCAAUCAUGCCUCUUCAGGGGUGCAGGCUACUAGUAACUUCUUGGAAGUUUUCUCUCCUUAGAGACCUUUCCUCCCAGUUCCAGAGAUACCUGCAGCAGGCUUUGAAAAUCCUCCUGGAGCUCUGGAUCUUAGCUCUGGAGGGGCCUCUUCAAACUGUUUGGAUUCAGACAAUAUCAAUUCCUGGUGUUUCCUGGAUCUGGCUAAAAUGACAACAGUGACAUAAUGCCAAGUUCUGCUGAAAGGUAAAUGGAGUAGACUAAGAGUCUCCUAUCUCAAUCCAAAGUCGGUUUGGGGGCUUGGACUGGGCAGGUCUUGCAGUAAGAGAAUAAAUAUCGUCAGUGCUUCUAGAGAUGGGAGAACACAACACUUCAGAUAAACUUCCAUUGUCCUGAGAAAAAUUGCUUUCCUUGUGUGUCUGUUAUUUAUUUAUUUAUUUAGAGACGGGAGUUUCACUCUUUUUCCCCAGGCUGGAGUACAAUGGCACAAUCUUGGCUCACCGCAACCUCUGCCUCCAGGGUUCAAGCGAUUCUCCUGCCUCAGCCUCCCAAAUAGCUGAAAUUACAGGCAUGUGCGACCACGCUCGGCUAAUUUUGUAUUUUUAGUAGAGACGGGGUUUCUCCAUGUUGGUCAGGCUGGUCUCAAACUCCCGACCUCAGGUGAUCCGCCUGCCUCGGCCUCCCAAAGUUCUGGCAUUGCAGGCAUGAGCCACCGUGCCCGGCCCCCUGUGUGUCUGUUUUAUACAACACACUCCUUAAACCCUUUGACUCUAGUUGGAGCAAGAACCAGUUACAACGUACCAUAUAUCAAAGGACAAAACAUAAUGAAUUCAUCUACUGAUCAACAAUAUGAGUGUUUUCUUCUUCCCAAUCCUCAGUAUUCUACCUUUCUCUUGUAUUUCAAAAUACUGAAAUACAAUAUUUUAACUGUUAUUAAGUAUCUCUUUCUUUUUGAAAUCUGUGUUCUUGUCUUCUUUAAAGCUCCUUGUUUUCCUCAUACAUAUCCAAGAUUAUUCCACCUUUAUCUCUCUUGCUAAAUCUGUAUCCUAGCACCAACUAGUCAUUGCCCUCACAGUUAAUUAUGACCAGAUUCUGUACUUAGUUUUAAUAGCUUGUUUGUCAAAAGUUGUCUGCAGUUUCCCAUUUCCCACAUUCAAAGAUCUCCAUUAUUUUAUCAUUUACAUUUCUAUGUACUCAGUACUAAUGUUUUUUCAAUAAUUAAAUGUAACAUACAGAAUAACAUGUAUAUAAAGUAUUUAAGUGCAAUGUAGAAAUAAAGUGAGCAAUUGUGUAAACAAUAUUCUAAUUCCUGUGAUCAGAAAUUAGAAGCCGGUAGAUCUCUAAAUUAUUAUUUUUUUAAUUAUAAGGCCUGCCCACUGCCUUCAGAUAAAUACUUUCCUGACUGAUUCCCUUUUGUUCUGAUUUUCUUCUGUUCUGAUUUUCUUCAUAGAUUUUAUCACCUAAGUUUUCAUCUCUAAACUAUAAUUUCGUUUUGCAUCUUUUGAAUUUAUAUUAAUGUAAUCAUACUUUUCAAGUUCAUUUUGGCUAGCUUAUUUCCUGCAGCAUUACAGUUUAAGAUGCAUCCAUGUUCCUGCACACUGCUACCAUUUGCCUUUUAUUGCAGUAUAAAGUCUAAUUGAAUAUGCACUUAUUUCAUCAGCUAUAAUAUUUGUGAGGGAUAUUGAAGUUAGUUCUAGUUUUGGCAAUAAUAAUCUACAGCUUAUGAACAUUCUAGUAUGUACAUUAUGGUGUUCAUAGGGGAAGUUUUAUAAACAGCAGAAAUAAAAAUUGUGGCAUAAUAGGACAUGUGUUAUUUUAAAUGUUAUUAGAUGAUGUCAAAGGUUUUCUAAACUGAAUUUACCAAUUGAUAUCUCAAUUAGCAAUGAAUUAGGGUUCCCAUGUCUCUGUAUCUUUCUUGUAAUUGCUUUUAUGUACAAAAGCUUUCCUGAUUUUACAUUUUUUUACACAGAUAAUGGCACAAUUAAUUAAAAACUAUAUUUUCAUCAUUCUUUAAUAACUUCUAAUAGCUUUUAAAAUGUUUCGUGAUUAUCUUUCCCAUAUCUGGUUGCAUGUGCUUUAAAGAUGUCAUAUAUUUUGAUGUAAUUAUAACUGGUAGUUUUUAAAAGUUCAUUUUCUAAUUAGUAGAUUAUCUGCAUAAAUAAAAUAUCUAUUUUUACAUAAUUUUCAUAUAUAGCAGCUAUAUCAAAAAAAUCUGAAUGAUUGUAAUAUUUAUCUGGAGAUUACUUUUCAGAUGUUUUUCAUAUAUCAUCUCGCUUUUGUAAACACUUGCAGUUUGUUUUUACCUCUCCAAUUAUUUCACAUUUUUUACUUUGUUUUCUUAUAUUUACUUAUAUGCAUUUUUAAAUUAACAUUUCAAAAUUAAAUAUAUUUACAGUGUUUUGUUAUAUGUAUACAUGUGAAUAAUUAAAUCAAGCUACUACCAUCUGUUACUUGAAAUACUUUUCAUUUGUUUGUGAACAUUUAAGAUAUUUGUUGGCAUUUUUCAAGAAUACAGUACAUUAUUAACUGUAGUCACCAUGCUCUACAGUAGAUCUUCAGAACGUAUUUAUCUUGUUUAACUGAAACUUUGCACCCUUUGAGCAACAUCUCCUCAUUCCCCUGGACCUUACCACCACAGCUCCUGUCAACCGCCAUUCUACUUUCUGCUUCUAUGAGUGACUAUUUUAGAGACCACCUGUGAGAUCGUGCUGUUUGUCUUUCUGUGAUUGGCUUAUUUCACUUAGCAUGCCAUAUUGCAUAUUUAUUCAUAUUUUUGCAGAUGACAGGAUUUUUUUUUAAGUCUGAAUGGUACUACAUUCAUUUUAUUUUUUACCUUUGAUUAUACACCCAGAAAUAGGAUUGCCAAAUUAUCUUUCUAUAUUGUAAAAAUUUGAGGAGCCACUAUAUUGUUUUCCAAAAUGAUGGCUCCAAUUUAAAUUUCUACUAAGUGCAUACUAGGAUUUCCUUAUAUCCACAUCCUCAGCAGCAGUUAUUGUUUACUUUUUUGAUAACAGCCAUUUUAAUAGUCAUGAGGUUUGAUUUUUAAUGGUUCAUUGUGGUUUGAUUUUGCAUUUCCCUUUUGAUUAAUGAUGUUGCAUAUAUUUUCACAUAUCCAUUGGCCAUUUGAAGUCUUUUCUUAAGAACUGCCUGUUUAGGUCUUUUGCCCCUUUCUAAUUGGAUUAUUAUCAUUAUUUUGCUAUUGAAUUGAGUUUAUUAUAUAUUUUAGAUAUUGACUCUUUAUCAAAUGUAUGGUUCACAAAUACUGUCUCCCAUUCUGUAAGUUAUCUCUUUGUUUAUUGUUUCCUUUGUAAUGCAAAGCUUCCUAGUUUGAUGCCAUCUUAUGUUUGGUGUCACCUUCGUUGUUGUGCUUUUUGGGUAAUAAUAAAAAAAUUAUUACCCAUACCAAUGUCAAGAAACUUCUUUCAUGGUUCUUUCUAGCAGUUUUAUAGCUCAGUCUUACGUAUAUGUCUUUAAUUCAUUUCAAACUGAUUUUUGUAUAUGACAUGUGAUAUGGGCCCAAUUAUAUUCUUUUGCAUGUGAAUACCCAGUUUUCUCCAACAUCAUGUAUAAAAUAGAUUGUCCUGUUCCCAUAAUGUUUCCAGCACCUUUGUCAAAAUUUGAUUUACUGUAAAUAUGUGAAUUUAGUUUUGGUAUCUGUUAGUUUCCCUGCCAUUG